Molecule: ribosomal RNA, 435 nt
Filed under: uncultured bacterium
Lineage: Bacteria
Description: partial 16S ribosomal RNA
Rfam family: Bacterial small subunit ribosomal RNA
Source: RNAcentral
AGCGAACGCUGGCGGCAGGCUUAACACAUGCAAGUCGAACGGGCUUCUUCGGAAGUCAGUGGCAGACGGGUGAGUAACACGUGGGAACGUGCCCUUCGGUUCGGAAUAACUCAGGGAAACUUGAGCUAAUACCGGAUACGCCCUUUUGGGGAAAGGUUUACUGCCGAAGGAUCGGCCCGCGUCUGAUUAGCUUGUUGGUGGGGUAACGGCCUACCAAGGCGACGAUCAGUAGCUGGUCUGAGAGGAUGAUCAGCCACACUGGGACUGAGACACGGCCCGGAAUACUACGGGAGGCAGGAGUGGGGAAUAUAGGAAAAUGGGGGCAAGCAUGAUCGAGCCCUGCUGCGUGAGUGAUGAAGGCCGUAGGGUUGUAAAGCUCUUUUGUCCGGGACGAUAAUGACGGUACCGGAAGAAUAAGCCCCGGCUAACUUCGUG